This is a small nuclear RNA of Echinops telfairi (small Madagascar hedgehog), 106 nucleotides long. NCBI's taxonomy places the organism in Eukaryota, Metazoa, Chordata, Mammalia, Afrosoricida, Tenrecidae. The record is from Ensembl.
GUGCUUGCUUUGGCAGCACAUAUACUAACACGGAACGACACAGAGAGGAUGAGCAUGGCCCCUGGGCAAGGGUGACACGCGAGUUCGUGGAGUGUUCCAUAUUUUA